This 538-nucleotide ribosomal RNA is filed under the name Microbacterium sp. CMT157. RNAcentral describes it as "bacterial SSU rRNA". It matches the Rfam family "Bacterial small subunit ribosomal RNA", at positions 339 to 885 of the family's 1533-position model. The record is from RNAcentral. Lineage: Bacteria; Bacillati; Actinomycetota; Actinomycetes; Micrococcales; Microbacteriaceae.
CUACGGGAGGCAGCAGUGGGGAAUAUUGCACAAUGGGCGCAAGCCUGAUGCAGCAACGCCGCGUGAGGGAUGACGGCCUUCGGGUUGUAAACCUCUUUUGGUAGGGAAGAAGCCUUCGGGUGACGGUACCUGCAGAAAAAGCGCCGGCUAACUACGUGCCAGCAGCCGCGGUAAUACGUGGGCGCAAGCGUUAUCCGGAAUUAUUGGGCGUAAAGAGCUCGUAGGCGGUCUGUCGCGUCUGCUGUGAAAUUCCGAGGCUCAACCUCGGGCUUGCAGUGGGUACGGGCAGACUAGAGUGCGGUAGGGGAGAUUGGAAUUCCUGGUGUAGCGGUGGAAUGCGCAGAUAUCAGGAGGAACACCGAUGGCGAAGGCAGAUCUCUGGGCCGUUACUGACGCUGAGGAGCGAAAGGGUGGGGAGCAAACAGGCUUAGAUACCCUGGUAGUCCACCCCGUAAACGUUGGGAACUAGUUGUGGGGUCCUUUCCACGGAUUCCGUGACGUAGCUAACGCAUUAAGUUCCCCGCCUGGGGGARUACGG